GAUGAACGCUGGCGGCGUGCCUAAUACAUGCAAGUCGAGCGACCAGAGGAGGGGCUUGGUCCUCCUACGUUCGCGUCGGACGGGUGAGUAACACGUGGCUAACCUACCUAUAAGGAUGGGGUAAAUUCGGGGAACCGGAGCUAAUACCGGCUAAUAUAUUGAACAGCAAGGUUCAGUAGUGAAAGAUGGUUUUGCUGUCACUUAUAGAUGGGUUCACGCCGCAUUAGCUAGUUGGUGAGGUAACGGCUUACCAAGGCGACGAUGUGUAGCCGGUCUGAGAGGAUGAUCGGCCACACUGGAACUGAGACACGGCCCAGACUCCUACGGGAGGCAGCAGUGGGGAAUUUUGGACAAUGGGCGCAACCCUGACCCAGCAAUGCCGCGUGUAUGAUGAAGGCCUUAGGGUCGUAAAGUACUUUUGUUAGGGAAGAAAAGACAUGUAAGAAAAAAUGCUCAUACUGACGGUACCUAAACAGAAAGCAACGGCUAACUACGUG
This 497-nucleotide ribosomal RNA is filed under the name uncultured bacterium. RNAcentral's name for it is "partial 16S ribosomal RNA". It matches the Rfam family "Bacterial small subunit ribosomal RNA", at positions 28 to 507 of the family's 1533-position model. The record is from RNAcentral.